RNAcentral lists this ribosomal RNA (524 nucleotides) under uncultured bacterium. RNAcentral's name for it is "partial 16S ribosomal RNA". It matches the Rfam family "Bacterial small subunit ribosomal RNA", at positions 355 to 895 of the family's 1533-position model. The record is from RNAcentral.
UGGGGAAUAUUGCACAAUGGGCGAAAGCCUGAUGCAGCAACGCCGCGUGAGUGAUGAAGGCCUUCGGGUUGUAAAGCUCUGUCUUUUGGGACGAUAAUGACGGUACCAAAGGAGGAAGCCACGGCUAACUACGUGCCAGCAGCCGCGGUAAUACGUAGGCGGCAAGCGUUGUCCGGAUUUACUGGGCGUAAAGGAUGCGUAGGCGGAUUUUUAAGUGAGAUGUGAAAUACCCGGGCUUAACUUGGGUGCUGCAUUUCAAACUGGGAAUCUAGAGUGCGGGAGAGGAGAAUGGAAUUCCUAGUGUAGCGGUGAAAUGCGUAGAGAUUAGGAAGAACACCAGUGGCGAAGGCGAUUCUCUGGACCGUAACUGACGCUGAGGCAUGAAAGCGUGGGUAGCAAACAGGAUUAGAUACCCUGGUAGUCCACGCCGUAAACGAUGAGUACUAGGUGUAGGAGGUAUCGACCCCUUCUGUGCCGCAGUUAACACAAUAAGUACUCCGCCUGGGAAGUACGAUCGCAAGAUU